RNAcentral lists this ribosomal RNA (767 nucleotides) under Microbacterium sp. RNAcentral describes it as "bacterial SSU rRNA". It matches the Rfam family "Bacterial small subunit ribosomal RNA", at positions 159 to 938 of the family's 1533-position model. Lineage: Bacteria; Bacillati; Actinomycetota; Actinomycetes; Micrococcales; Microbacteriaceae. The record is from RNAcentral.
GCGUCUAAUACCGGAUAUGAGCUACGGCCGCAUGGUCGGUAGUUGGAAAGAAUUUCGGUCAGGGAUGAGCUCGCGGCCUAUCAGCUUGUUGGUGAGGUAAUGGCUCACCAAGGCGUCGACGGGUAGCCGGCCUGAGAGGGUGACCGGCCACACUGGGACUGAGACACGGCCCAGACUCCUACGGGAGGCAGCAGUGGGGAAUAUUGCACAAUGGGCGCAAGCCUGAUGCAGCAACGCCGCGUGAGGGAUGACGGCCUUCGGGUUGUAAACCUCUUUUAGCGAGGAAGAAGCGAAAGUGACGGUACUCGCAGAAAAAGCGCCGGCUAACUACGUGCCAGCAGCCGCGGUAAUACGUAGGGCGCAAGCGUUAUCCGGAAUUAUUGGGCGUAAAGAGCUCGUAGGCGGUUUGUCGCGUCUGCUGUGAAAACUGGAGGCUCAACCUCCAGCCUGCAGUGGGUACGGGCAGACUAGAGUGCGGUAGGGGAGAUUGGAAUUCCUGGUGUAGCGGUGGAAUGCGCAGAUAUCAGGAGGAACACCGAUGGCGAAGGCAGAUCUCUGGGCCGUAACUGACGCUGAGGAGCGAAAGGAUGGGGAGCAUACAGGCUUAGAUACCCUGGUAGUCCAUCCCGUAAACGUUGGGAACUAGUUGUGGGGUCCAUUCCACGGAUUCCGUGACGCAGCUAACGCAUUAAGUUCCCCGCCUGGGGAGUACGGCCGCAAGGCUAAAACUCAAAGGAAUUGACGGGGACCCGCACAAGCGGCGGAGC